GAUGAACGCUGGCGGCGUGUCUAAUACAUGCAAGUCGAGCGAACGGACCAGAAGCUUGCCUCUCUGAUGUUAGCGGCGGACGUGUGAGUAACACGUGGACAACCUACCUAUUAGACUGGGCUAACUUUGGGAAACCGUAUCCAAUACCGGAUAAUAUUUUGAACCGCCUGGUUCAAAAUUGAAAGACGGUCUUGCUGUCACUCAUAGAUGGAUCCGCGCUGCAUUAGCUACUUGGUAAGGUAACGGCUUCCCACGCCAACGAUGCAUAGCCGACCUGAGAGGGUGAUCGGCCACACUAGGACUGAGACACGGUCCAGACUGCUACGGGAGGCAGCAGCAGGGAAUCUUCCGCAAUGGGCGAAAGCCUGACGGAGCAACGCCGCGUGAGUGAUGAGGCUCUUCGGAUAGUAGAGCGCUGUUCUUCGGGAAGAACGUAUGUGUAAGUAACUGUGAACAUCUUGACGGUACCUAGUCAAGAAGGCACGGCUAACUACGUG
Molecule: ribosomal RNA, 497 nt
Filed under: uncultured bacterium
Lineage: Bacteria
Description: partial 16S ribosomal RNA
Rfam family: Bacterial small subunit ribosomal RNA
Source: RNAcentral